RNAcentral lists this ribosomal RNA (407 nucleotides) under uncultured bacterium. RNAcentral's name for it is "bacterial SSU rRNA". It matches the Rfam family "Bacterial small subunit ribosomal RNA", at positions 355 to 774 of the family's 1533-position model. The record is from RNAcentral.
UAGGGAAUAUUGCACAAUGGGCGCAAGCCUGAUGCAGCAACGCCGCGUGAGGGACGACGGCCUUCGGGUUGUAAACCUCUUUUAGUAGGGAAGAAGCGAAAGUGACGGUACCUGCAGAAAAAGCACCGGCUAACUACGUGCCAGCAGCCGCGGUAAUACGUAGGGUGCAAGCGUUGUCCAGAAUUAUUGGGCGUAAAGAGCUCGUAGGCGGUUUGUCGCGUCUGCUGUGAAACCCCGAGGCUCAACCUCGGGCCUGCAGUGGAUACGGGCAGACGAGAGUGCGGUAGGGNAGAUUGGAAUUCCUGGUGUAGCGGUGGAAUGCGCAGAUAUCAGGAGGAACACCGAUGGCGAAGGCAGAUCUCUGGGCCGUAACUGACGCUGAGGAGCGAAAGCCAGGGGAGCAAACG